CUGUCUUUGCCUCUGACAGAGUACCUGCAAACCACUGAAAGGGGGAGGAGUCUGGCUUAUGCUUCAGGGGCUGUAGUCUGUUUUGGUGGCAGGCGGAGCAUGCUGGGAGCCGGAGGAGGCUGUUUGUCACCUUGGCAGUCAGGUCCAUAGGAGGCAGAGCUGGACAAGUCCUCCAGGGACCCAGCAACCCACCACCUCCUAAACACACCCACAGUGGGGGACAGUUCACACGUACCUACCGUGGCUAAGAUCCCCCUCAGCUGCAGGCUGUAUCUGAGGUGUCAAGCACGGAGGCGCUGGAGAACUCCAUGUUGCUGUUGGUCCUGGUUGGGUUCUGAAUGGAAGAUGCUGGAGGAUGAUUCUCUGACUGCCUUUCCACCUUUCCAGGGAGAUGGCUGGGUGUAUCACAAACCCCUGUGGAAAGGAAUUCCAUCACAACCAGCAGAGUGACACGCGCUUUCUAAGACUGGACCAAACGAGGUUCUCCUCUGUGUACCCCAAGCCCUGUCAGAUGGAGUUGUUGCUCUGAGUGACCUGCCUCCUAACUGUACAGCCUGAACACGGAUGUACCUGCUGAGCCCGUCACCCUGCAGCAAGACCAAAGUGUUACGGACAUGUGAUGGGCCUCUCCAGCCUGCUCACACACAUGAGCCUUUCCCUACCAGUCCAGUCCAUGCUUCAUCUUUGAUCUGAUCUGAAAGCUGCUCGAGCCCUGCUCUGUUCAGGGGCAGCACACAACAGCAGAGAGAACUCAGUGACUUUGUAGUAAGAAGUCAGGUCUCUCGCAGCGUCUGUUUGGCUUUCUGUCCAUAGCUGAAGUAUUCUCUGCUCUUGUAAGCCAGCCAAGGAGAGAAAUGUGACCUUCAAGUGGAUUCAGCCGCUGUGCCUGAAGUCAGUGUUCACACAUCACUGGGCUGUAGUACCAUGGCCUCUCUUCCUCCGGAGGCCUUGCCUGUGUCUGAGGAAGCCCAUCAAUUGCUCUGUUGGAACUCUCUUUUAAAAGUGUAUUUAUAAUUAGAAUUGUAACCAUGGAGGAAUUUUUUUCUUCUGAGCAUUUUAAUAUACUUGAAAAAACAUUGACUUGAAAAUUUCAGAACAUUUUUCAAUACCUAGUUUUAUUAAAUAUUACACUUAAGAGACAAUUUUUUAAAAUGUGUUCAUGUCAACAUGAGAUUUUGGCCUUUCUCAAGAACUAAGGCAUUAAAAAAUUAGCAAAUAUUAAAAAACAAAACUGUUACUUUUCCUUACCUAUUUUCAUUUGUAGGUUCAUAUUCAGUAUUAUGUGCUAUCCUGAGCAAGUUUGCUUUAUCUGACCUCUGUUCACUUAAAAUCUGUUCAUGGCUGUCAGUAAUUCAAUUAUGUCUGUGGCUGAGUACACAUAAAGUAUGGUUUUAUUUUAUUUUUCAAGGAAAUGUAAACACUGAAGAAAGGGUAUGAACUAAAAAGCAGGAAUCUGCAUUCAGGUACAAACUGGGUUUUAAUAGAUAUUUUAUUGGGGUUGAAGAAUUGCUGGCAGUGAACAGAAUUGUGCUAAUUAUGGUUUUCAUUUAUUCAAGUAUUUGCUGAGCACCCACUCGUGGUGCUGACUCUUGUUACUGCGAGCUACCUUACUGUCCCAGAGUGGUGCCUUACCCCGCUCCUGCCCACGUGGUCUUCCAGUCAGCGUGCGAACGCACCUGUCGCUCUUAGGCCGUGCCAGGCGGCCGCGUCUGUGCUCUGAGAAACCUUCUCUUAGUAGGGUUCAUAGGAUGGAAACAGCGACAAUGGUUUUUCCGCAAAUUGUAAAUUUAAAGAAUUGGUCUGUGUACAACCAUUUUAAUGAUUCCCUUUUCAUUUUUGCUGUGAAGUGCACUGAAAAAAAUCUCAAAAUGAGCUAUAGUUCAUGUGUUGGGAAAAUUGAAAAACAAUAAAAAUAGAGACAGCAGUAUUG
RNAcentral lists this long non-coding RNA (1930 nucleotides) under Rattus norvegicus (Norway rat). RNAcentral describes it as "long non-coding RNA NONRATT007060". The record is from RNAcentral. Lineage: Eukaryota; Metazoa; Chordata; Mammalia; Rodentia; Muridae.